This 253-nucleotide ribosomal RNA is filed under the name uncultured bacterium. RNAcentral's name for it is "partial 16S ribosomal RNA". It matches the Rfam family "Bacterial small subunit ribosomal RNA", at positions 524 to 776 of the family's 1533-position model. The record is from RNAcentral.
UACAGAGGGUGCGAGCGUUAAUCGGAAUUACUGGGCGUAAAGCGUGCGUAGACGGUUAUUUAAGUCGGGUGUGAAAGCCCCGGGCUCAACCUGGGAAGUGCACUCGAAACUGCUUCGCUUGAGUACUGGAGAGGGUAGUGGAAUUCUCGGUGUAGAGGUGAAAUUCGUAGAUAUCGAGAGGAACAUCGGUGGCGAAGGCGGCUACCUGGACAGUUACUGACGCUGAGACGCGAAAGCGUGGGGAGCAAACAGG